CCUACGGGUGGCUGCAGUAGGGAAUUUUGCGCAAUGGGCGAAAGCCUGACGCAGCAACGCCGCGUGAUCGAGACGCCCUUCGGGGUGUAAAGAUCUGUCAGUGGGGGCGGAACUUGACGGUACUCACAGAGGACUCACCGGCUAACUCCGUGCCAGCAGCCGCGGUAAUACGGGGGGUGCAAGCGUUGUCCGGAAUCAUUGUGCGUAAAGGGUUCGUAGGCGGCACGUAAAGUCUGGUGUUAAAGGCAGAGGCUCAACUUCUGUACGGCACUGGAUACUUGCGAGCUAGAAUGCGGUAGAGGUAAAGGGAAUUCCUGGUGUAGUGGUGAAAUGCUUAGAUAUCAGGAGGAACAUCGGUGGCGAAGGCGCUUUACUGGGCCGUAAUUGACGCUGAGGAACGAAAGCCAGGGUAGCAAAUGGGAUUAGAUACCCGUGUAGUC
Molecule: ribosomal RNA, 440 nt
Filed under: uncultured bacterium
Lineage: Bacteria
Description: partial 16S ribosomal RNA
Rfam family: Bacterial small subunit ribosomal RNA
Source: RNAcentral